Molecule: transfer RNA, 75 nt
Filed under: Chloroflexota bacterium
Lineage: Bacteria; Bacillati; Chloroflexota
Also listed under: 2 other names
Description: Chloroflexi bacterium tRNA-Thr
Rfam family: tRNA
About the family: Transfer RNA (tRNA) molecules are approximately 80 nucleotides in length. Their secondary structure includes four short double-helical elements and three loops (D, anti-codon, and T loops).
Source: RNAcentral
GCCGGCGUAGCUCAAUGGCAGAGCAGCUGUUUUGUAAACAGCUGGUUGGGGGUUCGAUUCCCUUCGCCGGCUCCA